RNAcentral lists this ribosomal RNA (218 nucleotides) under uncultured bacterium. Its description in RNAcentral is "partial 16S ribosomal RNA". It matches the Rfam family "Bacterial small subunit ribosomal RNA", at positions 118 to 351 of the family's 1533-position model. The record is from RNAcentral.
UGGGAACGUACCCUUUGGUUUUGGGACAACUCCGGGAAACUGGAGCUAAUACCGGAUACGCCCUUCGGGGGAAAGAUUUAUCGCCAAAGGAUCGGCCCGCGUCUGAUUAGCUAGUUGGUGAGGUAAUGGCUCACCAAAGGCGACGAUCAGUAGCUGGUCUGAGAGGAUGACCAGCCACACUGGGACUGAGACACGGCCCAGACUCCUACGGGAGGCAG